RNAcentral lists this ribosomal RNA (253 nucleotides) under uncultured bacterium. Its description in RNAcentral is "partial 16S ribosomal RNA". It matches the Rfam family "Bacterial small subunit ribosomal RNA", at positions 524 to 776 of the family's 1533-position model. The record is from RNAcentral.
UACAGAGGUCUCAAGCGUUGUUCGGAUUCAUUGGGCGUAAAGGGUGCGUAGGUGGCGCGCUAAGUCAGGUGUGAAAUUUCGGAGCUUAACUCCGAAACUGCAUUUGAUACUGGUGUGCUUGAGGACUGGAGAGGAGACUGGAAUUUACGGUGUAGCAGUGAAAUGCGUAGAUAUCGUAAGGAAGACCAGUGGCGAAGGCGGAUCUCUGGACAGUUCCUGACGCUGAGGCACGAAGGUCAGGGGAGCAAACGGG